RNAcentral lists this ribosomal RNA (484 nucleotides) under uncultured bacterium. RNAcentral describes it as "partial 16S ribosomal RNA". It matches the Rfam family "Bacterial small subunit ribosomal RNA", at positions 30 to 507 of the family's 1533-position model. The record is from RNAcentral.
AUUGAACGCUGGCGGCAGGCCUAACACAUGCAAGUCGAGCGGAUGAAGGGAGCUUGCUCCUGGAUUCAGCGGCGGACGGGUGAGUAAUGCCUAGGAAUCUGCCUGGUAGUGGGGGAUAACGUCCGGAAACGGGCGCUAAUACCGCAUACGUCCUGAGGGAGAAAGUGGGGGAUCUUCGGACCUCACGCUAUCAGAUGAGCCUAGGUCGGAUUAGCUAGUUGGUGGGGUAAAGGCCUACCAAGGCGACGAUCCGUAACUGGUCUGAGAGGAUGAUCAGUCAAAACUGAAACGAGGAACGGGUCCGACCCCUAAGGGGGGGAGGAGGUGGGGAAUUUUGGAAAUGGGGGGAAAGCUGAUCCAACCAUGGCCGGGGGGUGAAAAAGGGUUUUGGGUUUGAAAAGCCUUUUAGUUGGGGGGAAGGGGAGGAAGGUAAUACCCUGGUUUUUUGAAGGUACCAAACGAAAAAGCCACCGCCAAAUUUGUG